RNAcentral lists this ribosomal RNA (253 nucleotides) under uncultured bacterium. RNAcentral describes it as "partial 16S ribosomal RNA". It matches the Rfam family "Bacterial small subunit ribosomal RNA", at positions 524 to 776 of the family's 1533-position model. The record is from RNAcentral.
UACGGAGGGUGCGAGCGUUGUCCGGAAUCACUGGGCGUACAGGGCGCGUAGGCGGUUGGAUAAGCCCUCCGUGAGAUCUCCAGGCUUAACCUGGAAAGUGCAGAGGGGACUGUUCAGCUAGAGGAUGGGAGAGGAGCGCGGAAUUCCCGGUGUAGCGGUGAAAUGCGUAGAGAUCGGGAGGAAGGCCGGUGGCGAAGGCGGCGCUCUGGAACAUUUCUGACGCUGAGGCUCGAAAGCGUGGGGAGCAAACAGG